Long non-coding RNA from Brassica napus (rape), 3905 nucleotides. RefSeq lists it as uncharacterized. The record is from RefSeq and is a predicted model, not a curated record. Lineage: Eukaryota; Viridiplantae; Streptophyta; Magnoliopsida; Brassicales; Brassicaceae. The transcript is spliced from 2 exons.
UAUUAAAAUAUGACAUUCAAUAAUAUAAUAAUAGAAAUAUAAAAUACUUUACAAAUUUGAAAUAUUAUUUAAUUCUAUUUUAUAAUCAUACAAUUUUUGUUACUAAAGAAGAUUUUCAAAAUCCUAUUCAAUCUUUUUAAAAUUUUUUAAAAAUAAUUGUAAUACCAAUUGUUUCCAUUUGAUAUUUGCAAAUUUUAGAAAUUCUGUUUAGUUUUAUGUAUUCUUUGUAUUAAAACUUUUUUAUACAAGUUGAUUUAAUAUAUCUUAACCAAAAGAAAUAAAUGAAAAGCUAUCUAAGAUUAUAAUUUUAAGUAUAUAUAUAUAUAUUCUUAAAUAUAAUUUAAAAUAAAUUAAAUUGGUUAUUUUAUCUUAAUUUUAUGUUUAACUUAAUCAAUUUUUAUAUAAAAUAUUGGUAUAAAAUAAUAAAUUUAAAAUAUUAAGAAAAAUAUUUUUAAAUAUAACUUAAAUUAAAAAAAUUAUUUCUAAACAUGUUGCAGGAAAGUAUAUACUCAUAACCCAACCAUUCAUGCAAAUAUACCAAAACAUUACGAUAAUUUUUCGUUUCAACUAAGAACAAUAUUAUUCAUCUUUCGAUUUCAAAAACGUUGAAUUGUCGGGUUUUGAGGUCACUCCAAUCCCUGAUAAUUUCAUGUCAUAACACAAAUUGUUUUGGCAAUCCCUCAUUUUGGAUAACUUUUAGGUAUUUAGCCAUAAUAUUUGACCUCUCCCCUUCUUCUUGCACAACCUUCUUCCUUUUUCUGCAGCCAACUUCUUGCUUUCCAUCCUUCAUGCCAUUACUCAACUCUUGUGUCAUCACCACCAGCACAAUAAUUUCUGGUUUUCCUGAUAGAUUUUGGAGGUCAUUUUUGCGCAUCAGGUUUUUUCGGAUUUCCCCCAAAGAACAAGGCUCAUCAAAACUCAUCCAAAAACACAUGACCCUUAGGAAACCAACACUUUUGAGUCUUGAAAUCUUUAAACGCUCAUGCCAUUAAAUUGUUAGGCUUAACAUUCAGGUCAAGACUGUUUCUUUCACGCUCUUUAUCUUCAUAAUCGAAUAAUACCAAUCCUUUUCCUUUGUUCAGGCCUUGUGUAAUAAUCAAAACAGGCUCCAAACACAAAAUAGAGUGCAGUGCAAUCGGGUAUAACUCCGCCUCUUUCACUGAGAAAUUCACAUGAUUCACUUUAAUAGCUUUAUCAUCUCUUGUAUUAGAAGCAGAUAUCUCCUCAUUUCCUUGAGAACUUCCUUGCGAUUUUGGGUCUCCCUAUGUAAGGGUACAAGUUCCCCAACUUGUGCUUCUUCCAUAACUCCAUAGAGUGGAUCAUACAUAUUCAAAUCCUCAGUCUCUUUGUCCAAUCCUUCCUUAACUUUGUUCCUUAUUUCUUGAACUUCCUUUUAUCUCUUCUUGACCAGUAAGGGACAUAUGCUUUUUCGUGAUUCAACCGUUGAAAAGAGAAAAAACGUUUCUAAUUUUUUUUUCUUCAUAAUUACAAUGGAUAAUAGCAAUGUUACCCCCUAAGCAAGUUCAUGGCUUUGGACAUCUGCAAAGGAUUAACGACAUUGAAGAGAACCUGAACCCGAACAAAAUCUUGAAUAAUCAGUUUAGAAGGGUCUAAAGCUACCAUUUUCACUUUACUAAUCAGAUCUCCCAAAGCAGUUAACGUUUCCAUAGUGUAGUAGUUAACCUGAAUGUUACUUAUCCGCACCUACAAUGGUAUGAACUGAAGAUAAUCUUCUAGUGGAUUCUAUGCCCAUAUAUGUCGAGUACUAGAGUCCAUUCGUUGAAGAUAUGAACCUCUUUCUCAAGCACAUCCAGAAAGUCGUGCUUAUUUUUAAAAAUAAAUUGAAACUUUUCUCAAGAAGCACUCCAUGAAUUCUUUCUUUUUUUGCCAUUUUGUGGUAUAUUAAGGAUGAGCCUUGACAUCCGCUGACACUCCGGGUUCAGGGCCCUACCCAUAAGGCUGAGUUAGUUAUCUUCCGACAAAUUGAAUCCCUAGAGAUCUGGUACGGUAAAGAGCACAUCGUCCUCUUGAGCUAAUGUCAUUAAGGCUAUGUCCAUAUAUAGUCACAUACAUUACUUUCAAAAGCUUAAUUCUCAAGAAAUGAAUUAAGAUUACACUGUCAACUACCCAAAUUUCAAUAAGUGAAGAACAUGUAGUUACAAACACUAAAAUGUAUUUGUAACUACAUCAUCACUAAUGCUACCCUAAAGGAUCGAACCACCUUCACUCACUGAAAAGUUAAGAAGACAGUAAAAACAUGAUUUGACCACCUUCACUCACUUAAAAAGUUUUAAAAACACACUCCAAUGACAGAAAAAUAAAAUUCACAAAGGGUUACUAGAGAGCAUUUUCUCGGCUCCACACUCAUCAAUUCUUUAUGAAUUUUUCAAAACUAUUAUAUUUGUAUUUAGAUAAACUGAAUUGUUUAAUUAUAUUUAAUUUUUUACCAAUUGAAAAGGCACAAGCGCUAGAUAAUCUCUUAUUUUGACAAUUUCUCAACAGAGAAUGGAUUCUUCUUUUUUUUCUAUAUGUACUCUCUCUCACUUUUUAUUUUCCCUUUUUUUUUAUUAAUAAAUGUUGUUGAGAAAUUCUUGCAAAUACAAUCACUAAUAAUACCCUAAAGGAUCUAGAUAAUAUACAUACUGGCUAGAGAUGGUGACUUUGUGGCCUAAACCUAUCAAGCUCGGAGGAAUAACUGAAACUAAGCCAAUUCAAACUACAACAGCUUCUCAUUCCAAGCUUCCCAUUAAAGUAAAGAAAAUGGCUUCAUACUCAACUUUGUACUCCAAGGAUGAAUCCACUACAGAUAAGCCGCUCAAGGUGGCUUUUGCUAAUGCCUCAGCAUCACCUUUAGGCGAACGAGAAACACAUGAGAAAAGACGAUAUCGACAAAGGCAAGAGAGAUUUGCUGGAUAUCUCUCACGAUACCAUAGAUCUCUGAGUUCUGCAUGUUACGAGUGUUGAGUUGUUAGUCAGCAUCUGAAAAUCUGAGAUCCCCAUAGCUACUGUAGUGAUGAUUCCCAAUCGGAGAGCUAGGGCUUCUGCGAUCAGUGGGCUGGUGACAAAGUCUUGGGUCAUCGCUCCUCUGUGCUUGCAAGUUCCUGUUGAAUCCCUGAAGAUCCAGGCGAGACCUGCUCUGUUCAAUAGCUUGUUCCAGGCGGCGUCCGUUUUACAUGUCAUUCUCGUGUUCUAGUCGGGUUGGAGCUGAAGCCUUUUAGCUACUUCCUCGGGAAAGAAGGUCUGAUCCAUGAAGAUUAGCGUGUUGCGAGAAGUCCAAAGAGUCCAACAAAUCCAGGGGAGGAUGUAUUCAUGAUGGUGGCAAGCAUACAACUUUCCUAAAUGCCUCAACCUUUUAAAUUACAAUAAUAAAUGAAAGUGUCCAUAGCAAAAACAUCAAAAAAUAUCAUUUUUUUUGUUUUAUAAAUUCAUAACCAAAUUUCAAUUUAAUGUUUCUAAUCCAGUCUUUCAUGCACAGAUAACCAAUAUUACAUCAUCUUUUAUUUAUCUUAUUUUUAUAGUACUAACAAUUAUUUAUAAUUUAUUUUUAUCUGGUUAUCUAUUCUAUUAAAAGGGAAGCAAUCUUAAUAAAUCUACUUAUAAAGAUUGUUUGGACUCUUUCAUUUUUUAGUCCAACCUAUUAUAUAUAGGUAUAACUAAAUCUUAUAACCAACCUAUUUUAUAGCAACCAAAUAAAAAUCUCCUACAUUUAAAUAAAACAUAUUACUGUUUAUUGACUUUAAAUAUUAUAAUCUAAACUGUCGACCUAUAGCCUUUUAAAUAUGUACGUAGGUUUUGUAUGAACCAUUGUUCUAUUAGUAAUGUUUAUAUAAUAUGUUUGUAUCGAAUGAUGGUAUGAAAUUAUUAUAAACCAACAUUAUACCUCAUAUAACAAGAAUUUAAUGAAC